RNAcentral lists this long non-coding RNA (1151 nucleotides) under Callithrix jacchus (white-tufted-ear marmoset). RNAcentral's name for it is "lncRNA (ENSCJAG00000071065.1)". The record is from RNAcentral. Lineage: Eukaryota; Metazoa; Chordata; Mammalia; Primates; Cebidae.
AGGAUUCCAAAUGAAUGAGAAGUUAGUUAGAAACAAACUGUGCUCUUCCCAUCUCUCUCUUCUGGCUUGUAGUGUUUCUGCCGAGAGAUCUGCUGUGAGUCUGAUGGGCUUCCCUUUGUGGGUGACCCGACCUUUCUCUCUGGCUGCCCUUAGUAUUCUCUCCUUUAUUUCAACCCUGUUGAAUCUGACAAUUAUGUGCCUUGAGGUUGCUCUUCUUGCAGAGUAUCUUUGUGGUGUUCUCUGUAUUUCCUGCAAUUGAGUGUUGGCCUGUCUUGCUAGGUGGGGGAAAUUUUCCUGGAUGAUGUCCUGAAGAGUAUUUUCCAGCUUGGAUUCAUUCUCUUCGUCCCCUUCUGGUACACCUAUCAAACGUAGGUUAGGUCUUUUCACAUAGUCCCACAUUUCUUGGAGACUUUGUUCAUUCCUUUUUGCGCUUUUUUUCUCUGAUCUUGGUUUCUCGUUUUAUUUCAUUGAGUUGGUCUUCGACUUCAGAUAUUCUUUCUUCUGCUUGGUCAAUUCGGCUAUUGAAACUUGUGUUUGCUUCGCGAAGUUCUCGUAUUGUGUUUUUCAGCUCCUUUAAUUCAUUCAUAUUCCUAAGUUAUCCAUUCUUGUUAUCAUUUCCUCGAAUCUUUUUUUAAAUCUUUUUUCAAGGUUCUUAGUUUCUUUGCAUUGAUUUAAUACAUGAUCUUUUAGCUCACAAAAGUUUCUCAUUAUCCAUCUUCUGAAGUCUAAUUCCGUCAUUUCGUCACAGUCAUUCUCCGUCCAGCUUUGUUCCCUUGCUGGUGAGGAGUUUUGGUCCUUUCUAGGAGGCGAGGUCUUCUGGUUUCGGGUGUUUUCCUCCUUUUUGCUCUGGUUUCUUCCCAUCUUUGUGGAUUUGUCCGCUGGUCGUCUGCGUAGUUGCUGAUUUUUCGAUUGGGUCUCUGAGUGGACACCCAGAAUGUUGAUGAUGAAGUAUUUCUGUUGCUUGGUUUUCCUUCUACCAGUCUAGCCCCUUCGCUGUACGACUGCUGAGGUCCGCUCCAGACCUUGCUUGUCUGGGGUGCACCUCUAGCAGCUGUGGCACAGCGAGGGAUGCUACCAGUUUCUUUUUCUGCUAUCUUUGUCCCAGGAUGAUGCCUGCCUAAUAUCAGUCUUUUGGAUAUAGAGGGGUCAGG